GAACGCUGGCGGUAGGCCUAACACAUGCAAGUCGAACGGCAGCACAGAGGAGCUUGCUCCUUGGGUGGCGAGUGGCGGACGGGUGAGGAAUACAUCGGAAUCUACUCUGUCGUGGGGGAUAACGUAGGGAAACUUACGCUAAUACCGCAUACGACCUACGGGUGAAAGCAGGGGAUCUUCGGACCUUGCGCGAUUGAAUGAGCCGAUGUCGGAUUAGCUAGUUGGCGGGGUAAAGGCCCACCAAGGCGACGAUCCGUAGCUGGUCUGAGAGGAUGAUCAGCCACACUGGAACUGAGACACGGUCCAGACUCCUACGGGAGGCAGCAGUGGGGAAUAUUGGACAAUGGGCGCAAGCCUGAUCCAGCCAUACCGCGUGGGUGAAGAAGGCCUUCGGGUUGUAAAGCCCUUUUGUUGGGAAAGAAAUCCAUCUGGUUAAUACCCGGGUGGGAUGACGGUACCCAAAGAAUAAGCACCGGCUAACUUCGUGCCAGCAGCCGCGGUAAUACGAAGGGUGCAAGCGUUACUCGGAAUUACUGGGCGUAAAGCGUGCGUAGGUGGUCGUUUAAGUCCGUUGUGAAAGCCCUGGGCUCAACCUGGGAACUGCAGUGGAUACUGGGCGACUAGAAUGUGGUAGAGGGUAGCGGAAUUCCUGGUGUAGCAGUGAAAUGCGUAGAGAUCAGGAGGAACAUCCAUGGCGAAGGCAGCUACCUGGACCAA
Molecule: ribosomal RNA, 717 nt
Filed under: Stenotrophomonas hibiscicola
Lineage: Bacteria; Pseudomonadati; Pseudomonadota; Gammaproteobacteria; Lysobacterales; Lysobacteraceae
Description: bacterial SSU rRNA
Rfam family: Bacterial small subunit ribosomal RNA
Source: RNAcentral